AGUACUGUCUAACUUCAAAGCACGGCUUGAGAAAUGAAGCGUGAAACAAAGGCUCCUACCUGCUUAAAAUAAUAUGGCAUUCAUUAAUUGUUAGACACUGCUAUAUAUAUUUUGCGCAGAACUGCAAUAUCAAAGGCUCCUACCUGCCACAUGAUCGAAGAAAUCUCCAGGAGAUCAUUGUACGCUAACCACAGCGUUGAUAAUAUCUCGGCAAGGAGCUUCGUCAAUUGUUGGUCUCAACAUAUUUGAAGAAUCUGAAGAUGGAAUACCUAGGAUAUUAUGGAAAAUCUUCCGGAAGGAUACAUAAUCAGGUGCAGUCUGAAGGGAUUAUUAAUUUGCUUAAUAAAUUAAGAUUCGCAUAAAGGUAUGUAUAUUUUUUAAUAGGAACCAUUGAUCCACCGUUAUAUGAUUGAGAUUUAUGAGAAUUGUUCUUGUAUUUUAUAACAUUAUAUAGCGGGGCUGCCCCUGUCCUUUGUGGUUGAUUAGCAUAGGUACCAUUGACCAAUGAUCACACGCUUGUGCUACAGAGCUUUAGACGGUGGCCUGAUGUACUGUUUUAUAGCCGAGUUGAUGACUGUUUCUUAUCAUUUGUAUUAUUAAAAUUGUCUAGUCUAUCAGCUGAAUAAUUUUUCUAUUUCUUCAACUCAUUUUGUUUUUAUUUUUUUCCUUAAAAACCGUGUAAUGCACUUACGGGUUUUAAUGCUAAUUAUAUGUUAAAAUUCCAAA
Long non-coding RNA from Glycine soja, 726 nucleotides. RefSeq lists it as uncharacterized. Lineage: Eukaryota; Viridiplantae; Streptophyta; Magnoliopsida; Fabales; Fabaceae. The transcript is spliced from 2 exons. The record is from RefSeq and is a predicted model, not a curated record.